GUUGGGAUUGUAGGGUGUAAGGUAACCAUGAUGCACUUUCCACUUUCUUUAAACAAUGUUAUCCCUCUCCAUAAAUUUGAUUUGGUAAAAUACUUGGAAAGAACAACAAAUUGAACUGAAGAAAAUAAGUUGGAAGAUUAAAAAAUAAAUCAAAACUAAUGAAGGCUGUAGCAUUAAAGAUCGGCUGAAGAAAAGUCCCUACUUUCCUUCCAAAAUGAUAAUGAUGAAGAAAGCCUUCUGGAACAGCUGGCUUAGUGCCC
RNAcentral lists this long non-coding RNA (260 nucleotides) under Elaeis guineensis (African oil palm). RNAcentral's name for it is "long non-coding RNA (EGUI_LNC021842)". Lineage: Eukaryota; Viridiplantae; Streptophyta; Magnoliopsida; Arecales; Arecaceae. The record is from RNAcentral.